UACAGAGGGGGCAAGCGUUAUUCGGAAUUAUUGGGCGUAAAGGGCGCGUAGGCGGCUUCGCAAGUGGAAGGUGAAAUCCCUCGGCUUAACCGAGGAGCUGCCCUCCAAACUGCGUUGCUUGAGGCCGGGAGAGGUGAGUGGAAUUCCCAGUGUAGCGGUGAAAUGCGUAGAUAUUGGGAGGAACACCAGUGGCGAAGGCGACUUCCUGGCCUGUUCUUGACGCUGAGGCGCGAAAGCUAGGGUAGCAAACGGG
This 253-nucleotide ribosomal RNA is filed under the name uncultured prokaryote. RNAcentral describes it as "partial 16S ribosomal RNA". It matches the Rfam family "Bacterial small subunit ribosomal RNA", at positions 524 to 776 of the family's 1533-position model. The record is from RNAcentral.